AGUGAACGCUGGCGGUAGGCCUAACACAUGCGAGUCGAACGGCAGCACAGUAAGAGCUUGCUCUUACGGGUGGCGAGUGGCGGACGGGUGAGGAAUACAUCGGAAUCUACUUUUUCGUGGGGGAUAACGUAGGGAAACUUACGCUAAUACCGCAUACGACCUACGGGUGAAAGCAGGGGAUCUUCGGACCUUGCGCGAUUGAAUGAGCCGAUGUCGGAUUAGCUAGUUGGCGGGGUAAAGGCCCACCAAGGCGACGAUCCGUAGCUGGUCUGAGAGGAUGAUCAGCCACACUGGAACUGAGACACGGUCCAGACUCCUACGGGAGGCAGCAGUGGGGAAUAUUGGACAAUGGGCGCAAGCCUGAUCCAGCCAUACCGCGUGGGUGAAGAAGGCCUUCGGGUUGUAAAGCCCUUUUGUUGGGAAAGAAAAGCAGCAGGUUAAUACCCCGCUGUUCUGACGGUACCCAAAGAAUAAGCACUGGCUAACUUCGUG
Molecule: ribosomal RNA, 492 nt
Filed under: uncultured bacterium
Lineage: Bacteria
Description: partial 16S ribosomal RNA
Rfam family: Bacterial small subunit ribosomal RNA
Source: RNAcentral